GACGAACGCUGGCGGCGUGCUUAACACAUGCAAGUCGAACGGUAAGGCCCCAGCUUGCUGGGGUACACGAGUGGCGAACGGGUGAGUAACACGUGGGUGACCUGCCCCGCACUUCGGGAUAAGCCUGGGAAACUGGGUCUCAUACCGGAUAUGAUCGCACCGUGAGGGUGUGGUGGAAAGUUUUUAGGUGUGUGAUGGGCCCGCGGCCUAUCAGCUUGUUGGUGGGGUAAUGGCCUACCAAGGCGGCGGCGGGUAGCCGGCCUGGGAGGGUGGACGGCCACAAUGGGACUAAGACACGGCGCAGACUCCUACGGGAGGCAGCAGUGGGGAAUAUUGCACAAUGGGCGGAAGCCUGAGGCAGCGACGCCGCGUGGGGGAUGACGGCCUUCGGGUUGUAAACACCUUUCACCAUCGACAAAGGUUUUCUGACGGUAGAUGGAGAAGAAGCACCGGCUAACUACGUG
RNAcentral lists this ribosomal RNA (464 nucleotides) under uncultured bacterium. RNAcentral describes it as "partial 16S ribosomal RNA". It matches the Rfam family "Bacterial small subunit ribosomal RNA", at positions 28 to 507 of the family's 1533-position model. The record is from RNAcentral.